CCUACGGGUGGCAGCAGUGGGGAAUAUUGGACAAUGGGGGGAACCCUGAUCCAGCCAUGCCGCGUGUGUGAAGAAGGCCCUCGGGUUGUAAAGCACUUUCAGUGAGGAAGAACGCCUGGUGGUUAAUACCCAUCAGGAAAGACAUCACUCACAGAAGAAGCACCGGCUAACUCCGUGCCAGCAGCCGCGGUAAUACGGAGGGUGCGAGCGUUAAUCGGAAUUACUGGGCGUAAAGCGCGCGUAGGUGGCUUGAUAAGCCGGUUGUGAAAGCCCCGGGCUCAACCUGGGAACGGCAUCCGGAACUGUCAAGCUAGAGUGCAGGAGAGGAAGGUAGAAUUCCCGGUGUAGCGGUGAAAUGCGUAGAGAUCGGGAGGAAUACCAGUGGCGAAGGCGGCCUUCUGGACUGACACUGACACUGAGGUGCGAAAGCGUGGGUAGCAAACAGGAUUAGAUACCUGAGUAGUC
This 465-nucleotide ribosomal RNA is filed under the name Vreelandella stevensii. Its description in RNAcentral is "partial 16S ribosomal RNA". It matches the Rfam family "Bacterial small subunit ribosomal RNA", at positions 338 to 795 of the family's 1533-position model. Lineage: Bacteria; Pseudomonadati; Pseudomonadota; Gammaproteobacteria; Oceanospirillales; Halomonadaceae. The record is from RNAcentral.